GCACGGUCCGGGGCAGCGGCGGGGGUAGUACGGAGGGGGCGUGCGUGGGUCGGAAUUACUGGGCGUAAAGCGCGCGGAGGCGGCCAUGCAAGGUAGGCGUGAAGGGCCGGGGCUCAACCUGGGAACUGCGCUUCAGACUGCACGGCUUGAGUCCGGGAGAGGGUGGUGGAAUUCCCAGUGUAGAGGUGAAAUUCGUAGAUAUUGGGAGGAACACCAGUGGCGAAGGCGGCCACCUGGCCCGGUACUGACGCUCAAGUGCGAAAGCGUGGGGAGCAAACAGGAUUAGAUACCCCUGUCGUC
Molecule: ribosomal RNA, 300 nt
Filed under: uncultured Pyrodictium sp.
Lineage: Archaea; Thermoproteati; Thermoproteota; Thermoprotei; Desulfurococcales; Pyrodictiaceae
Description: bacterial SSU rRNA
Rfam family: Bacterial small subunit ribosomal RNA
Source: RNAcentral